GAUGAAGAACGUAGCGAAAUGCGAUAAGUAAUGUGAAUUGCAGAAUUCAGUGAAUCAUCGAACCUUUGAACGCACAUUGCGCCCGCCAGUAUUCUGGCGGGCAUGCCUGUUCGAGCGUCAUUACAACCCUCAGGCCCCCGGGCCUGGCGUUGGGGAUCGGCGGAAGCCCCCUGCGGGCACAACGCCGUCCCCCAAAUACAGUGGCGGUCCCGCCGCAGCUUCCAUUGCGUAGUAGCUAACACCUCGCAACUGGAGAGCGGCGCGGCCACGCCGUAAAACACCCAACUUCUGAAUGUUGACCUCGAAUCAGGUAGGAAUACCCGCUGAACUUAAGCAUAUCAAUAAGCGGAGGA
Molecule: unclassified non-coding RNA, 353 nt
Filed under: soil metagenome
Description: partial contains 5.8S ribosomal RNA, internal transcribed spacer 2, and large subunit ribosomal RNA
Rfam family: 5.8S ribosomal RNA (bases 1-120)
Source: RNAcentral